CUUCCAGCUGGGGGCCGCGCAGUCAACCGCCGAGUGGUGGCGCACAGCGCUCGCUUAAGCGGGAAGGAAGGGAGGUGCUGGACUUGCAGUGAUUGGCAGGCAGAAAUGGGGCGUAGAUAAGGCAGGUUUUCUGAGAGAUGAUUGGCUGAAUUGGCUCGGGGGCGGGAGAAGAGAAGACUCGGCCGGGGAUUCGUGGAAGUAGAGCGGAAGUCGGCAGCUGACGCGGUUGAUCCGAGUGUGAAGAGAAGGGAGCAGCGUUUGCGGCAUCGGCGUCUGUCAGCAGGCGUAGGCGGGACCACCGUCGCCCCCUGUCUGGAAGACUCGAGGGGCCUCCGCACUCCCGUCAGUCCAGCGGCAACAAACCUAAUGUUACACUUUUCUAUAGAAACCACUUUAAAUAUAUAUAUAUUAAAUGUAAUGUACUAUAGCCACAAUAUCAUUUCAACAUGUGAUCUGUAUUAAAAAAAACACGAACCUGAGGUAUCUUUUGUUACCUAGUACUAAAGGUUUGAAAACCUGUGUGUUUUACACGUUACACCACAUCUGUGAUCCGGACGCUAGGUUUUCACCGGAAAUAGUUGAGGUUUCACAAAUAUUUACAGUUGAAAUGGAGAUUCACAUGCCCAAAUGUUUCCCAACAUACGUUAAAAUUUCCCAUGAACUCAAUCUCAUGUCGGUGAUAAGUGGAAAUAUUAAUUGAUGAAAGUUAAGCGACGUGGAAUGUUCUGUUUCACAGUGGCACUAGCCACAUUCAGGUGCUUGUCAUCCCCUGUGGCUUCCGAUAUUGGAUAGCCAAUACCAACUUCAGCCAAACUGACCUUUUUUUUUUUUUUUCCAUAAAAUCCGACGUGACAGCCCCAACCUCUUUUCUGGUGCCUCCUUGUUAUUCAAGUCUUUUCUCAGAUGUCUUCUUCAGAAAAUCCAAGAGCCCCCCGAACAACAUUCAAAUUCGUAGAACAUAAGCUUGAACGGUAUAUUUCAAGCCACUGGCCUUUCUUAUCGGAGAAGGCAAUGGCAC
Molecule: long non-coding RNA, 1018 nt
Filed under: Bos mutus (wild yak)
Lineage: Eukaryota; Metazoa; Chordata; Mammalia; Artiodactyla; Bovidae
Description: lncRNA (ENSBMUG00000018592.1)
Source: RNAcentral